GACGAACGCUGGCGGCGUGCUUUACACAUGCAAGUCGAACGAGAACCUUCCUUCGGGAAGCAGAGAGUGGCGAACGGGUGAGUAACACGUGGGCAACCUGCCCCUCACACUGGGAUAACCUCGGGAAACCGGGGCUAAUACCGGAUACUCACGUCCUCGGGCAUCCGAGGACGUGGAAAGGAUUCUGGUGAGGGAUGGGCCCGCGGCCUAUCAGCUCGUUGGUGGGGUAAUGGCCUACCAAGGCGACGACGGGUAGCCGGCCUGAGAGGGCGACCGGCCACACUGGGACUGAGACACGGCCCAGACUCCUACGGGAGGCUGCAGUGGGGAACAUUGCGCAAUGGACGAAAGUCUGACGCAGCAACGCCGCGUGAGGGAUGAAGUACAUCGAGAUGUAAACCUCUUUCAGCAGGGACGAAGCGAAAGUGACGGUACCUGCAGAAGAAGCGCCGGCUAACUACGUG
This 464-nucleotide ribosomal RNA is filed under the name uncultured bacterium. Its description in RNAcentral is "bacterial SSU rRNA". It matches the Rfam family "Bacterial small subunit ribosomal RNA", at positions 28 to 507 of the family's 1533-position model. The record is from RNAcentral.